This 2294-nucleotide long non-coding RNA is filed under the name Homo sapiens (human). RNAcentral's name for it is "HSALNT0351976". Lineage: Eukaryota; Metazoa; Chordata; Mammalia; Primates; Hominidae. The record is from RNAcentral.
CUAACUCCUGGGAACCACUGAUUUUUUUUUCUAUUUCUAUAGUAUUACCUUUUCCAGAAGGUCAUAAAGUUGGAAGUGACAUACGUAGCCUUUUUAGAUUGGCUUCUUUCAUUCUGCAAUAUGCAUGUAAGCUUCCACUGUGUCUUUUCAUGGCUUGACAGCCAUUUAUUUUAUCAUUGAAUGGUAUUCAGUUGUCUGGAUGUAAUACAGUUUGUUUAAUUAUUCACCUACUGAAGGUAAUCUUGCUUGUCUCCAAAUUUUUGCAAUUAUAAAUAAAACGUCCAUAAACAUCUGUGUGCAGGUUUCUGUGUGGACAUAAGUUUUCAACUCCUUUGGGUAUAUACCAAGAAACAAGAUUGCGGGGUCGUAUAAUAAGAGUAGAUUUAGUUUUCUAAGAUGCCACAAAACUAUUCUCCAUUUUGUAUUUCCAUCAGCACUGAAUGAGAGUUCCUGUUGCUUCACAUCCUCAUCAGCAUUUGGUGUUGUCAGAGUUCUGGAUUUUUGCCAUUCUAAUAUGCAUGCAGUAGUAUCUCAUUGCAGUGCUGUGUUUGAGAAUGUGAGUAGCUGCAGUUCAUUCACUCUUAGUGCUGCGAGGUACUCUAUUAUUGGAAUAUAUGAUCAUUUAGUUACCUAUUCCACAAUCUACCCAUAUUGAGAGAUAACUGGAUUGUUUCCAGGUUUUUAAAAUUGUGAACAUUCUCAUAUAUCCCUAGGUAAACAAAUGCAAGAAUUUUUCUGGGGCCUGUAACAGGCUGACUAGAUUGCACUAGGUUGUAGUGAAGCCACUGGGUCAUAGGGUACAUGCAUGAUCAGCUGUAUGAGCUAACAUCCGUUUUCCAAAUGGCUGUCCUUCUACUUGCAUGGGAUGAAUGCUUCCACGGUUCUUUAUCCUUGCCAAUACUACACCUUUCAGAACUUCCAAAAAAUUUUGUCAAUAUGUGUGAAAGGGUAUCUAAUUGUUAAUUUUCAUUUUCAUGAUUAUUAUUAGGUUGAGCACUUUUUCACAUGCUUAUGGGCUAUUUAUGCUAACUUCUUGAGGUGUUAUUUUUCACUUAUUAAUUUAUAGGAGAGCUUUAUAUAUUCUGGAUACUAAACCUGUCUAGGUAACAUGUGUUGCAAAUAUCUCUGCCAAGUUUUGCAUAUUUUUUUCUCAUUGCGGUAUCCAAUAAACAGAAGUCUUAAAUUUUUAUGUGAUCAAGUUAGUUUUUACUCUUGCCGUUUGUUCUUCUUCCCUAUGUAAAGAUAAAAGAGAUGCUCCACAGUUUUUUUCUAAGAAUGUUGAGAAGGUAUCUUUAUCCAUUAAAAUAUAUUUUUAGGUUUGGUCUAUGGGAUUAAGUUUCAAUUUCCUUUUUUCCCCCUUAUGGAGACCAGUGGUCCCAGUGUUGCUUAUUGUAAAAUUUACUAUCUUCACUUAACCACAAGAAAAGCUGUGUUACAAAAUAUGUUUCCAAGUAUGUGUGAAAAAUAUAUUUAUCUUUAUGAUUCUACUCAGAUUAAUUAGCUCUCAGGACUGCUGUGUCCAGAGUUGAUUCCUUCUGGUGGGUUCGUGGUGUUGCUGACUUGAAGAAUGAAGCCGCCGACCUUCACGAGCGCUGAUUGGUGUGUUUUACAGAGCAUGGAUUGGUGCGUUUUACAGAGCGCUGAUUGGUACAUUUCACAGAACUCGUGAGACAGUCGCAGGUGGCAUGAUUUGAUUUGUGUGAAGGCAAUGAAAUGAUACACAGAUACACCGAAGCCUCCCAAAAGAAUCCUGGUUCCAAGAUUCAAGAAGAUGGAUUAAUGUUUUUCCAUUAAUUGUUGGAAUUUAUGCCAUUUUUUUACUAUGUGCCAUCAAUUUUAAAGCACUUCUGAAAAGAGAUAACAAUCUACAAUAGCUGGCAUUUUAAAUUCAUAAAAAUAUAGUAUUUUCUUCUAUUUUUAUACAUUUAUGAUGCAUUAUUUCUUAUUUCCCAGGAAUUUUACUACCUUUGUUUUGAAUGAUUAAAAAGGAAACAUAGCACCUUUUUUCAACACAUCACCAAGAUAGCCUAGUUAAUAUUCUUCUCUUUCUGAAGUAGUUGAAUUGGGAUAGACAGCUUGCCAGGCCUGCUGCCACUUGUCAGCAUCGCAUCCCUACAUUCAACCACACUUGCAUCUAACGACCGUCUCUUUCAUUAAAUUUCUUUUGCACCUUUUCUUCCUGAAUGAGUGCAUGAUAGUUAAUUUUCCUGUGCACUUGCAUGUCUCAAGAAGGUUUUAAUUCUUUUUGUAUUGCAUUAAUAUUUAAGUUAAGUUUAUAAUUGCAAAAUGAUUUA